Meriones unguiculatus (Mongolian gerbil) is the source of this 489-nucleotide non-coding RNA. The record is from the annotation of a RefSeq genome assembly. NCBI's taxonomy places the organism in Eukaryota, Metazoa, Chordata, Mammalia, Rodentia, Muridae.
AUGAAGAGGCUGCUGUGCUCUCUGCUGGGGCUUCUGUGCACCCAGGUUUGCUGGGUGAAAGGGCAGCAAGUGGAGCAGAGACCUGCGACCUUGGUAAUGCAGGAGGGAGAGAGUGCAACACUGCAGUGCAACUUCUCCACCUCUGCAAACCGAAUGCAGUGGUUUCACCAAAGUCCUGGAGGACACCUCAUCAGCCUGUUUUACAAUCCUUCUGAAACAAAGCAGAGUGGAAGACUGACAUCCACGACAGCCCCUGUGGAGCAUCGCAGCUCUUUGUACAUUUCCUCCUCCCAGAGCACAGACUCAGGCACUUAUCUCUGUGCUGGGGUACACAGUGCUCCCCACACACCUGCAGCCUGUACGCAAACAUUCUGCUGGGUGGAUGUGGGCCUUUUCACUCACAAGAAAUUAGGAAGCCACUGCAGAAUCCCUGCCUGUUUUAAUAAGGGGAAGAGAGAGGAAGGUUGGUACUGGGAGGGGGAGAGUUGA